GUGCCCAUAGUCUAAUGGAUAGAACGUUGACCUCCGGAGUCAAAAAUACAGGUUCGAUUCCUGUUGGGCACA
Megamonas hypermegale ART12/1 is the source of this 72-nucleotide non-coding RNA. Lineage: Bacteria; Bacillati; Bacillota; Negativicutes; Selenomonadales; Selenomonadaceae. The record is from Rfam.